UGUGCCAGCCGCUCAGCUUCCCUCCAUCCUGUUGCUAAAUCCUCAUUUGGCAAUCGAGACUGACAACAUGACUUCUCCAUAGAAACCCUCUGUGGUUUUGUUCUCCGUGUAGAAAUUGUGUGCCCUUUCCGUUGCCAUAACAGAUUUCUCCAGAUACUUGGGGCAUGGGCCCCAGUCCUCCGAGCGCCACACCUGCACCUUCUCCACGCCCACUCUGGGAACACCAGAGCCAAAAGCAAAAGAGCCUGCCGGGGCUCCAGCUUCCCCCCAUACAACUUCGGAUGAAGCUGGGCAAGGGGGGACUACCCUCGGAGGCAGGCAGUGUGGGGAGCAGGUCGGCCAGGGUUCAAUGCUUAGUCCUGGCCUGAUUUGUGGCCGUAAGGGGUCAAAUGGCCUCAGAUUGGUGUGCCUCAGCUUGCUCCGAAGCCAAGUGGGACCAGCCAUACCCGGCUCCAAGUGGGUACGUGAGGUGAGCUACAUGGCCGGCGGCAGUGAGAAGCAGCAGAGUGUCUUAACUGCUUCCUUUUGCUCUGCUCUGCUUGUAUUUUUCUCUCUCACCUCACACCUAGGAUCUCCAUGCUUGCCCUCAUCAGAGAAGGUUCCUGAAUUUCUGAGGAGUCACUCACUCCAGGGAUCCCCCCUGGCAGUUCCCCACCAACCCCUGGAAAUUCCCCCUCCUGCUUUUCCUGCUGAGAAUCUCCAGAGUCAUUUCUUGCAAGUUCCACAGCUCCGUGGCUUGGAGGCACAUGCCUGUAAUAGCAGCACGCAAGAGGCUAAGGCAGGAGGAUCACUGCAAACUCAAGACCAGCCUGUGCUACGAAGUGAGUUCAAGGCCAGCCUGAACUGCAUAAGAAGACUCUGUCUCAAAAAGACAAAAAGAAGAAAGAAAAGAAAAGAAAGCUAAAUGUUUUGAAUGGAUUCAGGACUUCAGGCAGUCACAAGAACAAAACUAAAGACAUGAAAGAGAACUUGGAGAGCUGCUGCAGAAAGCGACACUGUAUUUGAAUUGUGAGGGAGUGUGUUGAGGGGUUAAUGCAUCUUACACUACAGCAAAUUUUUAAAAUUGAAAUAAUCAUCGUGUUUUUGAUCAUACCUUGUAUUGUAAUCCCAAAUAUUGAGUUCUGUCAUCCAAGUACUGGAAUCUUCUUUCUAGUUUUCCUGACACUCCAAAAGGUUAUCUUGAGAUCCCAUUGAGACGUCACUGGAAUCCCAGCAAGUUAAUUCCAAGCUACCACCACCGAAGCAACCCACGGUGAGAGUAAAAACACCAAGACAUAUUCCAAGUUAAGGGCAGCCAAGGGGACCAAGUCCAAUCCGUGAGAGGACAUGCGGACAAAGGCCCUGAUCCUAGGCCUCUCCCAGAAUUUCUUAUCUUAUGAAGAAGGGGGGUGGCUCAGGGAUGAGAGACGGUGAGUAACUUGAGCUGGCUGGCCAGGUGCAAGAACAGCAUCUCUGUAAAUUGCAGAGACAAAGAUAUGCAGAAGGAUCAGUUCACAUAAUCUAAUUAAGACAGCAACUGAAUUGUUUUGGGAGGCUGUCACUUCGGUUUCUGACAUGCAAACUCUUGUGCCCUGGGGAGUCAUAGCCUCUUUAUCUUGAGGCUCUACCCAGUUGACAUUCCCGGAGCUAUUGGCUCUAACUCUCUCGGUGCUCAUAUCCUAUACGGACAACACUAUGCAAGGAAACAGGACUGUCUGUUGGCUUUAGAGAUUACGUACCAGCACCUUGGAUAGCUUAUUUGCAAUGCUUAGAGCCAAUUGAAGAGAGAAGGAAGUACCAUAGCCAGCUCUGUACAUAUCAGUAUAAGGAAAUGAGUCUCCAGACAAUCAAAGUCACAGUAAUUGUUUUGCAUUCAAGCGCAGACACUGGAGUUGUCUCCCACACCUUGUAUGAUCUGAAUAAAAAUGAAAACUAGAUAGUCUUUAUUUAAAACUAGAAUUACAAGUCAAUUUCACUUAUGAUUAUAGGUAUGAAAAUACUACAGAAAAUAUUACUAAUUAUAAUCCAGGAGUAUCCUAAAAUAACAAUCUCUCAUGACCAAUUUAGUUUAUACUGGGAAUGCAAUGAUAGUGAUACCUUUAGAAUAUAAUAUGAGUAUUAUUCAUCUCAUUAAUACAUUAAAGAGAAAGACUGCAUGGACCUCUCAAAAGGUUUUUAAAAAUUCAAUAGAAUUAAAACUCAUUUCUAAGAAAACUUACAUUACACUAUCAUAAAGUACAUAAUAUAGGAAGAAAUGUUAUAACAAUAAUAAUUGAUACUUAUCAGAGCCUCCUGAAUAUAGUUUACCAGUAAAACUGUAUUUAAUAGUAAAAAUGUCUAUUACGACUACUAUUUAGUAUAGUUUUGAAACAAUACAGAAAAAAUAAAAGUGGACAAAAUUAUAGUUUAUAUAUUAUCUACAUUUAAAAAACAAAAAAAAAUCAGUGGAUAACAACAGAAUUAGCACAAUAGUGAAGAAAGGUGUGAGCACACAAAAGAAAAUGACAAAAAUCAAUACUGUUUCUUUCAAUGUGCAACUAGAAAUGUACCACUUUAAAGUGUCACCAUUGGGAAACAUACAUACACAAAACACAUAGCAAUAAGCCUAACUAAACGUGCACAUUUCAUGGAGAUAUUUAUAAGACAUUAUGAGACGUAAAAGAGAAAAACAAGACUAAAAGCAUACUAAGUGGUAGAGCCCUGGCCUGGUAUGUGUGACACCAAGCUUGGAAACCUUGGGUCCAAUCCCCGGUGCUUCAGGAUAGGGAAGGAGAGAGGGGAGAGGGAGGAAUUUACUCUUCAUGUAUAGAAAGCUCUGCAUUGCCGCCAUCUACUCAGUCUCCCCUAAAAUAGACCUGGGCACUUAGUGCAAUUUUAAUAAAAAACAAUUGACUUCUUUGAUUCAUCUUGGAAAACUGGUUAUAAAACUCACAUGGGGCAAUAAAGGAGUUUGGAAAGUUAAAUCGAUUUAAACACAAUCAUCAAAGAAAACCUCACCCCACCAGACACGAAGUCCCUUUACAGAGCAGGAGUCAUGAGUCGAGUGACACCAAGGAGCAAAUGACAAACACGUGGAAGAUGAGCGAGCUCAGGGACAGGCUCGGACAUUUAUCAGAAUGUCACACGUGAUAAGGAAAUCAUUGUGAUUCCUGGGGAAAAAGGAUUGCGAGAGAAAGGAGACAAAUUCCAGAUGAAAGCCCUUAAGGGUCGGGAAGAAGAGCAGGUCCUGGAAGGAAAGACUGGAACGAGCUAGUUUUCCUGGUUUUUGUUUUUCUUUGUUGUUGUUUGUUUUGUUUUGUUUUGUUUUAUGAAAGGAGUACAAAAUAGCCCACAGGAAGGGGCCCGCUGCAAGGCAGGGGUGAGUUUACGGGAGGGACGGGUCAUGUCUGGGCUGUUUCUGGAGAACAUGGGCGAGGGUGAGCUCCAAAGCAGGGCAGAGGAGAGAUGAGCAGAGACAGAGGAGUGCAGCAAAGAGAGGCUCUGGAUGGCGACACGUUCUGCGCUUUAAUUCACCACCAUUCCACCUGAAUUUUCCUUACCUAUUGUGACUUUCCGCAUUUUCGGACUGAUCGGUGGAAAGCAAGGACUCCAUGAGCAGGUGGGGAGGCAGGAACCAACGAUGCCGUUUGCCAGGGAAAAGAGAAAAGCAGGAGCUGUCUCCAUCCCUUAGUGAACUUGCCAUCUGCUGCCACUCCAGGACAAGGACAGUGGUGGGAGGACCGUGACUCCAGCACAGCAGGAGGCCAUCUCCCAGAGAAACCAUUGCGCUGACCAUCACACCUCACAAGCUAACAGCAUGUUGGCAACCCGCUGUCACGCUGGUGACUGGCAGAUGUGUCCGGUGAGUGGUGAGGAACCUUUACAGGUUUACUCUAAUGGAGAUCUAGAACGGUACCUGGCUCCCUGGUCCUUCAUGUACAGUUCACUGCAUGCACUAAACCCAAAUCACAGAGUGCUGACUGGGGUCCGUGCAGGUAGCCAGCCUUCACGCCCAAGGGAAGAAUCAGCUACAGAGGACAAGGGUUUCUGGACCAAAUGGAAAGGGAACCCUGUGGGGGCAGUUGAAGGGGAGCUAUGUCACACAGGACGGGCACAAAGAGCAAAGCCAGGCAAAGAGCAGAAGCAAACUCAAGGCUAGCACUCAUCCUGAGGGUCAGAAGUUGGAAGGAUCAUUUCUGUUUUCUUAUCUGAAAGGAGAGUUAAGUGGACAACAGGAAGAGGAAGACAGGAAUCUGGCAGAAAGCGAGGAGAUUGCUCCGGGCUUUGGCUUGGCCAAGGAAGCAUGGGCCCGGGCGCACUUCCAUCCAUCUGGUUGGCUGGGCUGGCCUGGUUGGGCUGAAGAGAGUCUCAGCUUGGAGGGUCACAUGUGGUGCCAGAAGAAUUGUACUACAGAUCAAAACUUGGGAUUUGAGGAGCAAAAUAAAGAGGAGACAGUGGCUGUCUGGGGUCCAGGAGCAACAACUAUAAAACCCGAGCAUCUGUUAAGACUCAGAGUUAAUCUGGCAGCAUCAGCUGUGGUCCCAGGGAGGAAGGGGCGGGGAAAGGGGCUAAGCGCUGCUGGAAUCCUCGGUCGGCACCCCUAAACCAAGACUCACGGGUAUGUGAGGGACAUAAUUGCUAUCCACAAGGCUGGGUAUUUUCUGCUGUGUUCAUGCAUUUCAGAUGCUGUAUUUGGGAUCUAAUGAUUGCUUAAAAUUUCAAGAAAAUGCUCCCAGUCUUUGGAGGUAGAUGGCUUCAACCCUACAAAGGAGGCACUGGUGUUCUCACUGGGAUUUUCUUUUCUUUAAAAAUAAUGAUGCAAGGCCAGGAGAAAGGAUCUCUGGUGAAGCCAUUGUGCAAGGCUGUGGGUUCAGUUCUCAGCACCACCAAAAAAAUUCUCCUAUAAGUAACCAACACAUAAUAUUUGCACUUACUAUGGGGUGCAAUAUGAUUGUUCAACACAUACGUGCAAUGUGUAAUGAUCAAAUCGAAGCCAGCCACAGUCCCACCUCCUUGAACAGUUAUCACUUCUGUGUUGGGAAACUCUGGACUCAUCUAGUCAUUUUGAAAUACUGCUAUCUUUGUUAUAAUCACUGCUGGCCGAUAUUAAAAACCUCCAGGUAAGCGACUGCAUACCCAGAAGGAGAAUGGCCAAGUGUGGGUGGUAGGUGGCGUGUGUGUUGGUGUGUGUGAGGUGUGCGUCUGGUGGUGCACACCUGUUCAGAGCGUGCCUGGAACAAGCAAGGGCCCUGUGCAGACUGGGAUCUAAUAGCAAGGGUCCAGCCCUCUCUGCUUGCAGGCACCCGCCCCAGGGCACGUGGGAUGUAAACACGGUUGAGCCAUUCAGCUGAAACUGGCCAGCAGGCCUCUGACAGGGCUCCAGGUGCCCUGGGUCGCUGUGGACGGAGAUCAGACGCGGAUCCUUCCCUAUGACACACAAUCCCGUAGGCUCGUUUUCAGCCAGACAAUCAGCCACUGUCUCCACCUGCUAGCUGCUCACUUGCCUGCCCAGGAUGAUGCCAGACACAGAGCGGGAAUCUUGGGUACUUUUCCCGGUGUCGCUGUCUGCUGAGUUCAAUGAGGGAGGGUGGCCCAGGCCUGGAGAGAUGUCCUUGUGUGACUGGCACUGCUGCCCAAGGCUGCUUUCCACCACACAUCAAAGGCAGCCAAGUCCCAGCCUCUUCGCUGAGUCAUAGGCACAAGCUAAACAGUCUCAGGUGUCCUUGAAAGUCUCUUUCCUGGGUUUGUUUUUGUAUUUAUCCCCAUAAAUAGGUUUCAGUAUUUCCCAGGACGCCCAGCUAGGAGCGAGCAGCAAUACCAUGGAUUUUAACAACCAACUGGAAAACAAAACAAAAUAAAGGGGAAAAACUAGUCUUUGAAGUCACUGCCACAUGCAUAACUAUCAAUGAACAGAAAGCCAAGCCCUGGGAAGGAGGUUUGAGGGAAUCAAAAGCCACGGUGCCUUCUGCUUUUAGAACUUCACACAGUCAUGGUGAGGGCCAAUGGCCACUUGCUUGAGGUUGUCAGCAGAAAAUCGAAAGGUUUCCAGUGAUCUAGGAUAUUCUGCGGGUCCUCGCUUGCAUCUGGAAACAGAUCACAAGGUCCCAAGGCAGGAUGGUGGCAUGGAAUUAAUUUUGACUUCAGGGUUAGAGGAAGCCAUUCACUCCCAGAUAUACUCAGGCUGGGCCCGCAGACCUCGUGAGGAGGUGUGUUCAGGCAGUACAAUGGCCCUAGCCCCAGUCCUGGGGACAUUCUCCUGGGGAGUGCCGGCUGAGUGUAGCCCUCCCUCCACAGUGGAAAUGGAAGCUCUCUGCCACCCCCAGCAAGCACUGAAGGAGGACAGCACUGACCUUUCACGACCUUGACUCCUUUCUCCUGCUUUUCCGGCCACACAGAAGGUCCAUUGAUUUCACCAAGAGAUUCCCAUCCUGCAGUUUAAUUAUGCCACUUAGGGCCAUUUCUUCCCAAUUCUUCCUAACGCAAAGCUAAAGAAUCUGUACCGUGGUUUUCCUCAGGCUAAUUACAUGUGUCCAAGAAUCUGGCAGCUUCCUGUUGCCCUAAUGACGCACCCAGGGGACAUGUUUGUCCACCAGUUGCCAAAGGCACCCAGAGGUCACCAGAAUCCUCCAGAGCCCAGAGGACUGCUUCCGCCACUUUGGAUGUAUAUUAAGAACAUCAAUUCCGGCUGCAGCUAUUUGGAGAUAGUGCUUUAUGAAUAAAGACACUGUGAUUAUUUAUAGGGACGGUAAACCAACCUGCAAGGUAUAGUCCACAUCCUGAGGCCCUGGAUGAAUGUGGGAUAUCAAGCUGGAAGGCUUUAUUUCCUGUCAAGUAUUUAAACUCAAGUCCAACCAACUAGGAACACUACAAAUAAACACACAGGGACCUGUUAAAAACAUAACUCUGAGCUAAAGUGAGUUUAUCCUUCCCCCAGUCAGGUAUCAAAUGUUGGCUUCAGGAUCCAGGGGGGACCUGGUAAACAGUCACUGGGGAGUCUUCUUGCCAUUUAAUUGGAGUGGUUCCUGAAGCAGAUGUCCAAAGUGUGGGGAGAUGUGGAUGACAGCUCCGGGCCUCCAGCCACUAAGGCUGAAAAAAGAGAAAAAGCCCAGUUAACAAGACAGCGUCACACCAGAACCAAUCCGUGAGACUCCAACCCCCUACCCACGGAGCACCUUCCUUAGGCAACUACCUCUGACACAGAAGAAGAACCUUAAAGUACGAAGCCUGCUAUUUCCAAGCCAUGUUCCAGCAAUGCUUAGAAACAGUCUUCUGAAGAAGGUUUGAUCUGUUUCCUAAAUUGCACUUUCUAGAGUCUAAGGUAGAACCCAGGGGUUUCUCUACCCACCCGCACUAUGCCUAAGACCUUCCACCUGUUCAUUGCCCUGGGGGACUCUAACACAGACACACACUCACACACACACACACACACACACACACAUGCACACACGCACACAUGCACACACAAUGCUUGCUUCAAAAUAGGUGCCACUGGAGGAGGCUGCAGGUAAAAGCAGAGCUUUUGCAGCUGGAGAUUUAUAGUGUUUAUUCCUCCCAGGGAGCUUGUGUCUUUCAGAAGUAAAUAUACAUGGAGACGUACUCAGAAGGAGGGACUGAGAAAGAGAAAGAGACAGAGACCAAGAGACAGAGACAGAGAGAUGGGGGGGUGAAGAAAGAAAAAACUGAGUACUUUUGACUGUGGCUUUGAGGCCUGAGGGGAUUAAGUCUUACCCUUGAUUUUUAGGGACUGCAUAAUCCCAAAUGAGGACCUACCCUAGCUGAAAUAACAAAGGAGAUAUUUAGAAAGACAAAAAAUAACAGUUAAUCAAAAUGUACUCACAUCAGUCUACAGUGUAAUGUGGUUUCCAGAGGCCCUUUUAAAAAUGAAGAAAUUGAGAGUACAAUUAACAAUGGUUUCUUGUAGUCAGGGAUUGCAAGGAGAAUAAUUACACACAGGACACAGAAUUUAUAAUAUUAUUUUAUGAUGGUCACCCAGAGGUAAAUACAAGAAAAUGCAGGAAAUCUGUCCACAAUACUAAAGACCUAGAAAAUCAGCCAAGGACCUGGAUCCCACAGCAAUGUCCUGCAUGAGUUCAGCUGAAGACCCAGAGCCCGUGACGGUGCCUCCCACAAGUCUAACUGGCAGCCUAGAGCCUAGGACUCACGCAAGGCUAUUUUAUGCAUCUGUGCUGGGAAGGCCCAAAGGUCAGCAGUGACAGCUAGAAAGUCUAUGCCAGUGGGGUGAAGGAUCUGUGCCAGUAGGCUGAGGGUUCUAUAUUACAGCCAAGAAGCAACCCUCAAAAUAAGGACCAGAGCUCCCCUGAAAAGUACCACAGCCAUCCUCAGCAACAGGGAGAUCUCAAGCUCCUCCAAAAAUGAGAACAAUUGACUACAUGUCAGAAAGCCAGUGUGACAAGCUUCUCCUGGAGAUUAAACAGCACACAUCUUCCCCUCUGGAGCCAGGGAGCAACGUUCAACAGAAGGACCAGAGCUGCCCCAAAGUGAACUAUGGUCACUUCAGUAACAAGGUCUCAAGCUCCUCUGAGGAUAAUGGCUGAGGUCAUAUCAGGGGAAACCAUGACAAGCUCCUCCAGGAGAACCAACAGCUACAAACAACACCACUUAGAAGAACCCACAAUGCCCCACUCUUCCUCGCCAAUCUCCUUUUAUGCUGGCAACCUUCCUCGGGUGGGUCAUCUAUACUCAGCACCAUGCCAAUUUAAUUCUGCUGGUGUUAAGUUGACCAUCAGUUUUUAAUCUAUAACAUAGAUUAAACAUUUUUUCUUUAAGGAGGCAUAAUCCCUUAAGCUUUCUUUUUAGUUGGAUAUCACUUUAACUCUGUUUAAAUUACUUUUUAAGUAUGGGUUUAAAGAAAAUAUAACAAUCCUAAGAGCAAUGUUCCCAACGGUAGGGCCUCAAAAUGCAUAAAUACAGACAGAUCUGGAAAGACAAACAAAUGUACAGUUCAAGUUGCACAUUCCAACACUUUUCUCUCAGGAAUCAAGAAAGAGAAAAUCAGCAGUACAUAGGAGAUAUGCAGAGCAGCAUCAACCAACCCGAGCUAACUGACGUACACGGGGCUCCACUCAGUGAGAGGAGACUGCGCAUUCUUUUUGAGUAUACACUGAACAUUCACAAAACAGGGACACACCCUAGUUUUUAAAAUUUCUUUAAAUUUUUUUAAAAAAUUUAAAUUUGUCAAGUACUGAUCUGUGAUCAUAAAGGAAUUGAACUAGAAAUCACUAUCAGAAUGAAGUCUAAAAAAAAUCUACUGGCCAAAAAGGCAGUUCCAAGAGAAAUUAGAAAACACUUUGCAGUGAAUAGGAAUAGAAAAUGAAAUGUACAAAUUUUAAGGGUGUUAAAGCAAAGCUAAUAGGAAAGUUUAAAGUACUAAGUACACAUAAAAAUAACUUCUCAAACCAGAAAUGUAACCUUUCACUGCAACUAGCUAGAGAAAAGAACAAAAUAAACCCCAAACUAGGAAAAGAGCACAAGCAAUAAAGACAAGGCAGGAAUCAAAGAAAUAUGAAAUGAAAAACAAUCAAUUCAGUGAAACCAAGUGUGGUUCUUUAAUAAAACCAAUAAAACGAUAAACCUAUAGCCAGAUUGAUAGUAAAAGAUGGAGAAGUCCAGGUGUGGGGGCCAGGUAUGUGGGAGGCAGACGCAGGAGGAUUACCAUCGUCUGAGGCCAGCUUGGGCUACAUAGUGAGUUCAAGGCCAGCUGAACCCUGUCUCAAAAAAUACAUAAAUAAAAAAUAAAAGAAGGAAGAAACGUAUUGCCAACACCAGUAAGAGGGAGAGGAGGCUUUACAGAUGUCAGAAGGAGGUGGAGCUGUGACCUGGUGGUGUCGCCUAGUAUGCACAAGGCCUUUGCUUUGAUCCCCCAGGACCAUAAAAAUCAGAGCAAAAACACAACAAGACUUCAGAAAGUAACAGAAGCACACUAUGAACAGCUCUGUGUACAUAAAUUCAACAAUUUAAAUGAAAUGGACCGAUUUCUUAAAAGUUACAGACUGUCAAAAUUAAAUAAAAAAGAAAUAGACUAUCUAAAUAGCCCUCUAUCUAUUUCAGAAGUUGAAUUUAUAGUUUUCAAGGUUAUAAGAAGGUUAUAGAAAACCUUCUUUAAAAAAGCCACACUCUAAAUGCUGAUGGUUUUACUGGUGAUUUGGCUAAAUACGGAAAGGAAAACUAACAGCAGUUUUUCACAAAUUCUUCUAGAAAAUAGAAAACAAGAGAAUACUUCCAAGCUCAUUGGAGGAGGCCAAUCCUCCUCUCACAUCAAAACCAAACUAAGGCAAGUACUAGAAAAAGUAAAGCACAGACCAAGGUCCUCGUGUAUAUGGACCCCAAACCCUCACCAAAAUAGUAGCAAAUUGAAUGCAGCACUAUAUAAAAAAGAUAAUACAUUCAGUCCCGUGGAUGCUCUGCCGAGAGGGCAGACAAGAACCCAGAAAGCGUCUGCAAGGUGGCCGCACAGCCUGGAGAGCCCAUGGCGUAGGUAAGAAACAAGCCGGCUCCUGGAGAACUUUCUUUUGGAUGGAGGCUCAGUGAUUUUGUUUUAUACUGACUUUAAGCUAAUUAAGUGAGACUUACUCACAGGAUAAAGGGCAGACUGCUGGGCCCAAAGUUCACUGAUUUAAAUGUUAAUCUCAUCCCGAAACACCCUCCAAGUUGACAAGUAAAAUUAACUGUCACGAGUUCACUCCUUGUCAUCUUGGCAACCAUGUGCUUUGCCUCAGGAAAUGCUCAUCCUGGGCACAACUGACACCUUCCCAGAAGAGGAUGCAGCGUCCCUGGAUGACGUCCACUCCUCCUUGACAACCCAUAACCUAGAUGCUGGGACGGAAAGUAGGUGGUAUUUUAGAACGAUGCUACUGAGUCAGUGGAUCUCCUGUCACAUGAUGGGGAGGGAAGAAAGUUUCUGUAACGGUUACAGCUGACACUGUCACCUCCAUCUUCCACUUCUGCCUUCAACAAAUAACUCAGUUUUACCUGAUAGGUUGACCCAUAUCUUCAUUUAAGUCUAUGCCAGUGGUGCAAAUCAUUUAGCAUUUCCAUUGAUAGCAAAUAGCCAGCUAUAGCACGCAUGUCAGAGGUUCGCCAUCACUGGUCUAUGCCAGUGUUAGUCUUGCCUGGACUGGGUUAUUCUACUUUUCCAUUGACUCGAAUCAUAAUCUUGGUAAUACUAAAGGAUGCUCUUGAGAAUCUCUUAUAUUUUGGAUAUAUCUUUCCUUACCUCUAUGGGACAGUAGUAAUCUACUGUAGUAGUCCACAGUAGAGUAGCUCUUUGGUAGUCUGGUGUUAGCAUUUUGUCGCUAUGACAAAAUACCUGAGAAUAACAAUUGAAAGAAAGAAAGAAAGAAAGGUUUAUUUUGGGUUAUAGUUUCAGUCCAUGGUCAGCGGUCUCCAUUGUUAUUAGGUCUAUAGUGAGACAGAAACGUUCUGCAGGAUGAUGUGACAGAGGAAUGCCACUCACCUCAUGACAGUCAGAAAACAGAGAAAAGGAAAGAUCUAUAGAGGAGGGGGCUAGAAGCAAGACACCGCCUUCACAGGAACGCCCCAGCUGACCUGUGUUCUCCAGCUGGGCCCCGCCACCCAGCAGCCCAUUUGGCUAUGGACUCAACAGUCCACUGAUGAGCUUUGCACCCUUACAAUCCUGUCACCUCCCGAGGUCCAACCUCUGUACGUGGCUGCAUUGGGGGUCAAGCCCUCAAUACCUGAGUCUUUGGAGAACACUUUAUAGUAAAUCAUGACAUCCAGAAAGGCCCCCCGACACCAGUCAUUCUUGUCUUUGAUUCUUGGUUCAAAAGCAUACACGAUCCAAAAUAGUCAGUUGGCAACUUUAAAAGCCAGUUCCAUGGGGUCAGGGCUGUGUCUCUCGCUAGGAGCACUCAUCCAUUUGGAACUAGGCUCUCCAGGUCAGGUCAGUUUAAGGUGAAGAAAGCAUAAAGCGAGAAUUCUGUGAGAGGAUGAUUAGUGUCUUUCUCAUUUACGCCCUUGACUCCUGGGCCCGUGAGUCCUGGCUAUGGGCAAAUAUACUAUACAUUAGACGCCAAUUAGAGUAUACGCAGCCCGAUAGAGAAUUUUGCACCAGCUCUGUCAGGGGAUGUCCCCUAGGUUAGCAGUGUAACUGAGUUUUCAAAAGUCCAUUUCACCCUUCUGGCAAACCAGCUGCUUCAGGGUAGUGAAAAACUUGGCAAUGCCAAUGAUUUCUGUCAUCAUAGGCCCACUGUAACAAUUCAUUGGUGUGAAGUGAAUCCUUUGAACAGGUGCUGUACUGUGUGGGACACCAUGACGGUGCACACAGCACUCUGGAAGCCCACGGAUGGUAACUUUGGCUGAAGUAGUAUGUGUAGGGAAGACACUGUAUUCAUAAUGUCUAUUCCAGUAAGAACAAAAGGCCUCUCCUUUCAUGAUGGAAAUUGUUUAACGUACUCAACCUGCUACCAGGUAGCUGGCUGAUUACCCCAGAGGAUGGUGCCAUAUUGGGAACUGUCUUGGGGGCAUUCCCUAAGUUUCCCUAGGCGAUGCAACAUUCAUCUCUUCUGACUGUGAGGGAGACAUUUCUUGUGCUGGGGGCAGUCUACUUCUACUAACAAAAUAUUGCUUCAGAAUUUAGGGGUUGUUAUGGAUUAAACUCUGAUGGUCAACUUAAUGAACUUAAUGCCAGCUGAAUUAAGUCAGCAUGAUGCUGAGCAUAGAUGUCCUACCUGAAGAAAGUUGCCAGCAUAAAUUAAGACUUGGAGAAGACGAGUGAGGCGUUGUGGGUUCUCCUACAUGUUGCUGUUUGAGCCGUUGGUUCUUCUGGAGAAGCUCAGGUCUUUACAUCAAGCACUGCCUCCUGGCUCCAGAGGGGAAGACGUGUGCCGCUUAAUCUCCAGGAUGAACUCAUCACGCUGGCUUCCUGGCAUGUGCCCGACUGUGCUUAUCAUCGGAGGAACUCGAGACCUCCAUGUCACUGAGGAAGGCUGUGGUGCUUUUCAGGAUAGCCCUGGUCUUUGUUUUGGGCAUAACUUCUCCACUCCAGCGUAGAGCCCUCCAUCUACCAGCACAGCUCCUUCACCCCGCUGGCAUAGGCUUUCUAGCUUCCACUGCUGACCUUCGGCCCUUCCAAGCACACAUCCAUAGAGAGACUGGCAUCCUUCUCGUGGGUGCUAGAUUGCCUUUUUGGACUCAUGGGAGGCACUGUCAAUGGGCUCUAUAUUCUCAUCUGGACUCAUGUGGGACAUUGCUGUGGGAUUCAGGCCCUGGGCUAAAUAUCCUGUCUUUAAUGUUGUAGAUAGAUUUUCUGCACUUUGUGUUAACUCUGGGUGACCAUCAUAAAAUAAUAAUAUAAAUUCCA
This is a long non-coding RNA of Cavia porcellus (domestic guinea pig), 13297 nucleotides long. RefSeq lists it as uncharacterized. The record is from RefSeq and is a predicted model, not a curated record. NCBI's taxonomy places the organism in Eukaryota, Metazoa, Chordata, Mammalia, Rodentia, Caviidae. The transcript has 2 exons.